UGUGUGCGGUACUACGGCGAGUGAGCGGCAAAAGCUCAAAUUUGAAAUCUGGUACCUUCGGUGCCCGAGUUGUAAUUUGGAGAGGGCAACUUUGGGGCCGUUCCUUGUCUAUGUUCCUUGGAACAGGACGUCAUAGAGGGUGAGAAUCCCGUGUGGCGAGGAGUGCGGUUCUUUGUAAAGUGCCUUCGAAGAGUCGAGUUGUUUGGGAAUGCAGCUCUAAGUGGGUGGUAAAUUCCAUCUAAAGCUAAAUAUUGGCGAGAGACCGAUAGCGAACAAGUACAGUGAUGGAAAGAUGAAAAGAACUUUGAAAAGAGAGUGAAAAAGUACGUGAAAUUGUUGAAAGGGAAGGGCAUUUGAUCAGACAUGGUGUUUUGUGCCCUCUGCUCCUUGUGGGUAGGGGAAUCUCGCAUUUCACUGGGCCAGCAUCAGUUUUGGUGGCAGGAUAAAUCCAUAGGAAUGUAGCUUGCCUCGGUAAGUAUUAUAGCCUGUGGGAAUACUGCCAGCUGGGACUGAGGACUGCGACGUAAGUCAAGGAUGCUGGCAUAAUGGUUAUAUGCCGCCCGUCUUGAACACCGGACCAAAA
This 583-nucleotide ribosomal RNA is filed under the name Saccharomyces cerevisiae (brewer's yeast). Its description in RNAcentral is "eukaryotic LSU rRNA". It matches the Rfam family "Eukaryotic large subunit ribosomal RNA", at positions 72 to 671 of the family's 3401-position model. The record is from RNAcentral. Lineage: Eukaryota; Fungi; Ascomycota; Saccharomycetes; Saccharomycetales; Saccharomycetaceae.